Molecule: ribosomal RNA, 475 nt
Filed under: bacterium V22
Lineage: Bacteria
Description: bacterial SSU rRNA
Rfam family: Bacterial small subunit ribosomal RNA
Source: RNAcentral
AAGCCCAGCUUGCUGGGUGGAUUAGUGGCGAACGGGUGNNUNACACGUGAGUAACCUGCCCUUGACUCUGGGAUAAGCGUUGGAAACGACGUCUAAUACCGGAUACRAGCUUCCACCGCAUGGUGAGUUGCUGGAAAGAAUUUUGGUCAAGGAUGGACUCGCGGCCUAUCAGCUUGUUGGUGAGGUAAUGGCUCACCAAGGCGACGACGGGUAGCCGGCCUGAGAGGGUGACCGGCCACACUGGGACUGAGACACGGCCCAGACUCCUACGGGAGGCAGCAGUGGGGAAUAUUGCACAAUGGGCGAAAGCCUGAUGCAGCAACGCCGCGUGAGGGACGACGGCCUUCGGGUUGUAAACCUCUUUUAGCAGGGAAGAAGCGAAAGUGACGGUACCUGCANAAAAAGCNCCGGCUAACUACGUGCCANCAGCCGCGGUAAUACGUAGGGUGCAAGCGUUGUCCNGAAUUAUUGGGCG